GGCGAUCGGGUGAGUAACACGUGGGUAAUCUGCCCUGCACUUGGGGAUAAGCCUGGGAAACUGGGUCUAAUACCGGAUAGGACAUCUGAGGGCAUCCUUGGGUGUGGAAAGUGUGUAGCGGUGUGGGUUGAGCCCGCGGCCUAUCAGCUUGACGGUGGGGUGAUGGCCUACCGUGGCGACGACGGGUAGCCGGCCUGAGAGGGUGACCGGCCACACUGGGACUGAGACACGGCCCAGACUCCUACGGGAGGCAGCAGUGGGGAAUCUUGCGCAAUGGGCGGAAGCCUGACGCAGCAACGCCGCGUGGGGGAGGACGGCCUUCGGGUUGUAAACCUCUUUCGGCACCGACGAAGGCAGUGUUCUGUUGACGGUAGGUGUAGAAGAAGCACCGGCUAACUACGUGCCAGCAGCCGCGGUAAUACGUAGGGUGCGAGCGUUGUCCGGAUUUAUUGGGCGUAAAGAGCUCGUAGGCGGUGUGUCGCGUCGGCCGUGAAAACCUGCCGCUUAACGGUGGGCGUGCGGUCGAUACGGGCAGACUUGAGUUCGGUAGGGGAGACUGGAAUUCCUGGUGUAGCGGUGAAAUGCGCAGAUAUCAGGAGGAACACCGGUGGCGAAGGCGGGUCUCUGGGCCGAUACUGACGCUGAGGAGCGAAAGCGUGGGGAGCGAACAGGAUUAGAUACCCUGGUAGUCCACGCCGUAAACGUUGGGCGCUAGGUGUGGGGACUGUUGUGGUGUCCGUGCCGUAGCUAACGCAUUAAGCGCCCCGCCUGGGGAGUACGGCCGCAAGGCUAAAACUCAAAGGAAUUGACGGGGGCCCGCACAAGCGGCGGAGCAUGUGGAUUAAUUCGAUGCAACGCGAAGAACCUUACCUGGGUUUGACAUGCACC
RNAcentral lists this ribosomal RNA (888 nucleotides) under uncultured Saccharopolyspora sp. RNAcentral describes it as "bacterial SSU rRNA". It matches the Rfam family "Bacterial small subunit ribosomal RNA", at positions 97 to 992 of the family's 1533-position model. Lineage: Bacteria; Bacillati; Actinomycetota; Actinomycetes; Pseudonocardiales; Pseudonocardiaceae. The record is from RNAcentral.